This 2930-nucleotide ribosomal RNA is filed under the name human gut metagenome. RNAcentral's name for it is "bacterial LSU rRNA". It matches the Rfam family "Bacterial large subunit ribosomal RNA". The record is from RNAcentral.
UUAAGUAAGGAAGGGCGUACGGCGAAUGCCUUGCCACUCGAAACUGAAGAAGGACGCGCCAAACUGCGAAAAGCUCCGUGAAGCUGUAAGGAAGCGAAGAAGCGGAGGUGUCCGAAUGGGGGAACCCGGCAGCAGACAUGAGCUGUCAUCUGCAGGUGAAUACAUGGCCUGCAAGAGAGGUACCCGGCGAACUGAAACAUCUAAGUAGCCGGAGGAAAAGAAAACAACAGUGAUUCCCUGAGUAGCGGCGAGCGAAAGGGGAGAAGCCCAAACCGGUUGAAGGACCGGGGUUGAAGGACCAUGACAUGGCAAGAACGAGGAUAGGAGAACGGGAUCGAAAGCCCGGCCGAAGAAGGUGCAAGCCCUGUAACCGAAAUCCGAGUAAAGCCUAAUGGGAUCCUGAGUACGGCGAGACACGAGAAAUCUUGUCGGAAGCAGGCGGGACCAUCCGCCAAGGCUAAAUAUAAACGAGUGAGCGAUAGUGAACCAGUACCGUGAGGGAAAGGUGAAAAGAACCGCGGGAGCGGAGUGAAAGAGAACCUGAAACCGUAUGCCUACAAGAAGUCAGAGCCCGUUAAGGGGUGAUGGCGUGCCUUUUGUAGAAUGAACCGGCGAGUUGCGACAGACUGCGAGGUUAAGGAGGAAAGACCGGAGCCGAAGCGAAAGCGAGUCUUAAGAGGGCGAAAGUAGGAUGUUGCAGACCCGAAACCGGGUGAUCUAGCCAUGAGCAGGUUGAAGUUGAGGUGAAACUCAAUGGAGGACCGAACCGACUACCGUUGAAAAGUUAGCGGAUGACUUGUGGCUAGGGGAGAAAUUCCAAUCGAACCCGGAGAUAGCUGGUUCUCCCCGAAAUAGCUUUAGGGCUAGCGUCGGAAAGAACCUUAGUGAAGGUAGAGCACUGAAUGUGUGAUGGCCCCAUCCCGGGGUACUGAAUACAAUCAAACUGCGAAUGUCAUUAAGGAUGUCCGGCAGUCAGACUGUGAGUGAUAAGGUCCAUGGUCAAGAGGGAAACAGCCCAGACCGCCAGUUAAGGUCCCAAAAUACAGGCUAAGUGGAAAAGGAUGUGGGGAUGCCCAGACAACUAGGAGGUUGGCUCAGAAGCAGCCAUCCUUUAAAGAGUGCGUAACAGCUCACUAGUCGAGUGACCCUGCGCCGAAAAUGUACCGGGGCUAAGCCUGAUACCGAAACUGCGGAUUGUAGGAAACUAUAGUGGUAGGGGAGCGUUGUAUACGAGUAGAAGCCGUACCGUGAGGAGCGGUGGAUUGUAUAGAAGUGAGAAUGCCGGUGUGAGUAGCGAGAUGUAGGUGAGAAUCCUACACACCGAAAGCCCAAGGAUUCCAGGGGAAGGUUCGUCCGCCCUGGGUAAGUCGGGACCUAACGCGAGGCCGAAAGGCGUAGUGGAUGGAAAGCAGGCGAAAGAUUCCUGCACCCGUAUAUGGAGCGAAGGAGUGACGGAGACGGAUAGUGUGACCCUCUUAAUGGAUUGAGGGCGAAGCGAAGCGGCUGGUUACCAGGCAAAUCCGGUAACCAUAAGGCUAGAGCGUGACAGGUAAGCGAAAUCUUAGGAAAGUAGCGAAGCACAUGAUGACGGCUUCCAGGAAAAGCUUCUGGCAAUGCAUAUGCGGCCCGUACCAAAACCGACACAGGUAGGCGGGUAGAGCAUACCAAGGCGAUCGGGAGAACCAUGGUCAAGGAACUCGGCACAAUGGCCCCGUAACUUCGGGAGAAGGGGUGCCCGCGCGUACGUGAACCGGCUUGCCCGGGGAGCGGAGGCGGGCCGCAGUGGAGAGGCCCAAGCGACUGUUUACCAAAAACACAGGACUCUGCAGAAGCCGCAAGGCGACGUAUAGGGUCUGACGCCUGCCCGGUGCCGGAAGGUCACGCGGAGGAGUUAGCCGCAAGGCGAAGCCCCGAAGCCAAGCCCCGGUAAACGGCGGCCGUAACUAUAACGGUCCUAAGGUAGCGAAAUUCCUUGUCGGGUAAGUUCCGACCUGCACGAAAGGCGCAACGACUUGGGCGCUGUCUCGACCAUGGACCCGGUGAAAUUGCACUGGUCGUGAAGAUGCGACUUACCCGCGGAAGGACGGAAAGACCCCGUGAACCUUCACUGCAGCUUGGCAUUGGCCGCUGGUCCCGCGUGUAGAGGAUAGGCAGGAGGCAUCGAUCCGGAGGCGCCAGCCCCCGGGGAGCCGCCCUUGGAAUACUGCCCUCGCGCGACCGGCGUCCUAACCCGAGGCCGUCAACCGGCUCGGGGACCGUGCCAGGCGGGCAGUUUGACUGGGGCGGUCGCCUCCUAAAGGGUAACGGAGGCGCGCGAAGGUCCGCUCGGGACGGUCGGCAACCGUCCUUUUGAAUGCAAGAGUACAAGCGGGCUUGACUGCGAGGCCCACAAGCCGAGCAGGUGCGAAAGCAGGCUCUAGUGAUCCGGCGGCCCCGAGUGGGUGGGCCGUCGCUCAACGGAUAAAAGGUACUCCGGGGAUAACAGGCUGAUCUUGCCCAAGAGUCCACAUCGACGGCAAGGUUUGGCACCUCGAUGUCGGCUCAUCGCAUCCUGGGGCUGUAGCAGGUCCCAAGGGUUGGGCUGUUCGCCCAUUAAAGCGGUACGCGAGCUGGGUUCAGAACGUCGUGAGACAGUUCGGUCCCUAUCUGUCGUGGGCGCAGGAUAUUUGAGGAGCUCUGUCCUUAGUACGAGAGGACCGGGAUGGACGUACCUCUGGUGCACCAGUUGUCAUGCCAAUGGCACGGCUGGGCAGCUACGUACGGAACGGAUAAACGCUGAAAGCAUCUAAGCGUGAAGCCGACUCCAAGAUUAGAUAUCCCAUUGCAUAAGCAAGUAAGACCCCUUGAGGACUACGAGGUUGAUAGGCUGCGUGUGUAAGUGUCGUGAGGCAUUUAGCUUGGCAGUACUAAUAGGUCGAGGGCUUGACCAC